Heterocephalus glaber (naked mole-rat) is the source of this 907-nucleotide long non-coding RNA. RefSeq lists it as uncharacterized. The record is from RefSeq and is a predicted model, not a curated record. NCBI's taxonomy places the organism in Eukaryota, Metazoa, Chordata, Mammalia, Rodentia, Bathyergidae.
CCUGGGCCACGUGCUGCAGUGCGGACUCGCCGUCCUCUGGAAGGGAGGAAGUGCCGUGUUCUAUCCUUGCAACACGUCACACUUGGUUCAUUGCUCAGAAGUUCCACGUGAAACACUUGGCACGUCGGUAAUAAGGUGCCUAAGGAGAAGGCCACGUGUGCUAAGAGAAAUGUGGAACGAGACUCGGGUGAGCUUGGAUCCCACUUACUGGCCGCACACAGUGCGCAGUCGCUCAACCCAGGAGCCCUCUCCUGAACGAGGAAGCAGAACGUUUCCCUUCCCAAGGUCGCGCAUCCCAAAUUAUCCGGCUUCCAGUCCUACUGAGCAACAAAAGGAGACAGAUCAACGUAAAGCUCUUCCUCCAGAACAUGAAACAAGCAGCAGUGAACAUUUUAUCCGAUUCCCCCUUCCAGUCAUCUCACAACAACCUUUCAACGAUAAAUAACCAACUAGAACUCAGACAAGAUCUACCCGAGCAAGAGCAUCACCCCAGGACUCUGCUUUGUCACUACUUGAAUGAAGCUUGCUGUGAAACCAAGUGUGACCUCCAGGACAGACAGCAAAGGCAAGCAGGACAGGAAAAGGGCAGAAUUCCAGCCAAGAAAAUAUUCUAAUUCUUGUUUAUGCUAUUUCAAAAAGCUAAAUCAAUGUUCUUAACAAAUGGAGAUUUAAGAACCUCAAUAUAAAAUCUGUAUCGUUGAAGGAGCACACAGAACUGCCUUGCAUUUAUGAAAUAUUGGGGCUGCGCUGCCGUUUGGUGUCAGAGUUCAUUUCUAGCAUGUGCAAGGCCCCGUAUUCAAUCUCCAGCCCCAGAAAGAGAAAGAAAAGGGAAAUAUCAACUUUUUAAUAAAUUAAACAUACUUUUUAUGUAUUCUUCUACAUCCCCAAUAGAAUCUACCUCAAACUG